UACGGGGGGGGCAAGCGUUGUUCGGAAUUACUGGGCGUAAAGGGCUCGUAGGCGGCCAACUAAGUCCGACGUGAAAUCCCCAGGCUUAACCUGGGAACUGCGUCGGAUACUGGAUGGCUUGAAUCCGGGAGAGGGAUGCGGAAUUCCAGGUGUAGCGGUGAAAUGCGUAGAUAUCGGGAGGAACACCAGUGGCGAAGGCGGCUUCCUGGCCUGUUCUUGACGCUGAGGCGCGAAAGCUAGGGGAGCAAACGGG
RNAcentral lists this ribosomal RNA (253 nucleotides) under uncultured bacterium. RNAcentral's name for it is "partial 16S ribosomal RNA". It matches the Rfam family "Bacterial small subunit ribosomal RNA", at positions 524 to 776 of the family's 1533-position model. The record is from RNAcentral.